This 204-nucleotide unclassified non-coding RNA is filed under the name uncultured fungus. RNAcentral's name for it is "sequence contains ITS1". The record is from RNAcentral. Lineage: Eukaryota; Fungi.
GUGUUCGGUUGGGUCGCAUUUGCUCUCUCUCAGAGAGGUCUCACUAUCAUUUAAAAAAAUUGGUGUUUCGAAUAUCUUGUAAACCCUCCCCCCCCCCCGCGCGGGCGGCGCGGGCGGGGGGGGGCGCGGCUCCAACAGUGCACACGGGGUGGAGAGAGUAACACAGGAUUGGUGAUGAUCCAUCAGCAGGUUCACCUACAGAUA